GACAGAGGUGCCGAGCGUUAGGCGGAAUCACUGGGCUUAAAGCGUGUGUAGGCGGGCGGGCAAGUACCUUGUGAAAUCCCACGGCUCAACCGUGGAACGGCUGGGUAUACUGCCUGUCUUGAGCCAACUAGGGGCGAGCGGAACAGACGGUGGAGCGGUGAAAUGCGUAGAUAUCGUCUGGAACGCCAAAGGUGAAAACAGCUCGCUGGGGCUGCGCUGACGCUGAGACACGAAAGCCAGGGGAGCGAACGGG
Molecule: ribosomal RNA, 253 nt
Filed under: uncultured bacterium
Lineage: Bacteria
Description: partial 16S ribosomal RNA
Rfam family: Bacterial small subunit ribosomal RNA
Source: RNAcentral